Molecule: non-coding RNA, 463 nt
Organism: Equus caballus (horse)
Lineage: Eukaryota; Metazoa; Chordata; Mammalia; Perissodactyla; Equidae
Source: RefSeq, a predicted model, not a curated record
UCUGUAGGAAUCAGAUAAUUUCCUAAGAGGAGUGUUUCACCACUAGAUGAUAAACAACGAUCUAUGGGAGUGGUGAGGAAGCCAGAUCAGAGAAGGCACCACAGAUGAGGAAGAGCAAGGAGAGGCUUGGAUGGCUGGAGACACGCUUCACAGGGUCUGCACAAGCCCACUGUUGAAUAAUGGCAUAAAAUAAAACCGAAUAUAAAUCAAUGAGAAAAAUUAUGAAACACAGCACAUGCAACAACAGCAAAGAAUUAAAUCUCUGAAGUUAAAGUUAACUAAAAGCAUGUCAGUGAUCAGUGAUCAACGAGGUUGGACGCACAUAGUCAACCAACUUGUUUUCUUCCUUUUAUUGUGCUAUUAAUAUAAUAAAAAACUUGGAGAGGAAUUUAUUACAGCCAAAUCAUGGAAACACACACAAGAAAUGCCUAAAUAAAGUACCUACAUGACUUUGAUUGCAAAA